UGCAGUCGCACGGAUUGGGUAGCAAUACCCAGUUAGUGGCGAACGGGUGAGUAAUGAAUCGCUAAUGUGCCCCGGACUCUGGGAUAGCCAGUCGAAAGACUGGGUAAUACCAGAUGAUAUAACUUUGUCGCAUGACAGAGUUCUCAAAGGUCCGCCGGUCUGGGAGCAGGCGAUUUCGUAUCAGCUAGUUGGUGAGGUAACGGCUCACCAAGGCGACGACGCGUAGCCGGACUGAGAGGUUGGCCGGCCACAUUGGGACUGAGACACUGCCCAGACUCCUACGGGGGGCUGCAGUAACGAAUCUUCCGCAAUGCACGAAAGUGUGACGGAGCGACGCCGCGUGUGGGACGAAGCCCUUCGGGGUGUAAACCACUGUCAGGGGUAAGAAAGUUCUGAUCUACCCCAGAGGAAGGCACGGCUAACUCUGUGCCAGCAGCCGCGGUAAGACAGAGGUGCCGAGCGUUAGGCGGAAUCACUGGGCUUAAAGCGUGUGUAGGCGGAGUGCUAAGUACCUUGUGAAAUCCCACGGCUUAACCGUGGAACUGCUGGGUAUACUGGUUCUCUUGAGCCACCUAGGGGCGAGCGGAACAAGUGGUGGAGCGGUGAAAUGCGUAGAUAUCACUUGGAACGCCAAUGGUGAAAACAGCUCGCUGGGGGUGUGCUGACGCUGAGACACGAAAGCCAGGGGAGCGAACGGGAUUAGAUACCCCGGUAGUCCUGGCCGUAAACGAUGUCGACUAGAUCGCAGUGGCUCUGACGCUAUUGCGGUCGAAGCAAAAGUGCUAAGUCGACCGCCUGGGAAGUACGGUCGCAAGGCUAAAACUCAAAGGAAUUGAC
RNAcentral lists this ribosomal RNA (837 nucleotides) under uncultured bacterium. Its description in RNAcentral is "bacterial SSU rRNA". It matches the Rfam family "Bacterial small subunit ribosomal RNA", at positions 56 to 914 of the family's 1533-position model. The record is from RNAcentral.